Molecule: long non-coding RNA, 1067 nt
Organism: Ananas comosus (pineapple)
Lineage: Eukaryota; Viridiplantae; Streptophyta; Magnoliopsida; Poales; Bromeliaceae
Exons: 2
Source: RefSeq, a predicted model, not a curated record
UAUAAAAUUUAGAUUCUAAAUACUUCAAAUAUUUUAAAUCAAUUUUAACGAAUCCGAUCACCGAUUCAGAAUUCCUAUAAUUUAAAACGAUUUACUAGGACGAAAGCCUCCGUUUUUCUAAAAAAACAUAGUAGCUGGACUCCAACAAUACUAUUAAAAAAGAAUAUGUCGUUUUAUCGAAGCAGCUCUAAUCGAACAGCACUAACUACGGAGGAACAGCUUUGACAUGGACAGAGUAUUAGCAUUGGGGCACAAUAAUAAGUGGUCCACCAAUCCCAUCACCCCACAUGGCACCGGUAUGGCGCCGGCCACAUGUCGCGACGUCCGCCGUCUGAUGGAGAUCAAAGGGCUACAAAGAGGCCUUGUGUAGGGCCAAUCAUAUGAGCUUCUCAAUUUGCCAAAGGAAAAAUUAUGAACUUUUGAUCUGCUGAACAUCUGGCUAUUGCUGGCUUCAAGCACAGGCAGAAAAGCACAGAAGUGGAGUCAAACAGGCUCUAGAACUAGGGUUUCUCGCUUUACGAGUCUGCGAGCUUGCCUUAUGUGAAACAGCAAAAAUUCUGAACUUUUGAUCUGUCGAACAUCUGGCUAGUGCUUCCGAAGCCAAUUGCCAAUAGAUAAAUAGAGUGGUAAAGGUUUUUUUGAAGUAGACAUUGACUCCUUGAAUUCUUUUACACUGUAGAGUGCUCUAGAGAUUCCCCACCCUCUACAGCACAACUCUCCAUCACCCCCUCCUUUCCAAUUGAUAGCUAUGAUAUUGUCAUCAAGGUAAAGAGGACAAGUAGGCUUGUUAUUAUCCAAACAAGGACUUUGUUAUAUUUUUCUUUUUCUUUUUUUUUUUUCCUUCCUUUUUCUUGUACUCGUUUGUUUUUUUGUCUUAGCUACUCUAGCUAGUGCAAUAUGAGGAAAUAUGUGUGUGUGUGUGUUUUUUUCUUUCCUCUAUCUUUGGUCAAUAAUUUGAGGGCCACUUUAAGAGCCUGUUCGACUUAGCUUCUGCUUCAAGGUAUAAACUAUAAUCACUUUUUGUAGAAUAUUUGACAGAUAAAAAGUUCUGAAACUGUCUGCUUCUA